This 120-nucleotide ribosomal RNA is filed under the name Propithecus coquereli (Coquerel's sifaka). The record is from RNAcentral. Lineage: Eukaryota; Metazoa; Chordata; Mammalia; Primates; Indriidae.
AUCUAUGGCCAUACCACCCUGAACGCACCUGAACGCAUCUGACCUCGGAAGCUAAGCAGGGUUGGGCCUGAUUAGUAGUUGGAUGGGAGAACCCCUUUCCACUUAAACUUACUACACUUG